UACGAAGGGGGCUAGCGUUGCUCGGAAUCACUGGGCGUAAAGCGCACGUAGGCGGCUUUUUAAGUCAGAGGUGAAAGCCUGGGGCUCAACUCCAGAAUUGCCUUUGAAACGGGACGCGUUGAGUCCGAGAGAGGAUGGCGGAAUUCCUAGUGUAGAGGUGAAAUUCGUAGAUAUUAGGAAGAACACCGGUGGCGAAGGCGGCCAUCUGGCUCGGUACUGACGCUCAGGUUCGAAAGCGUGGGGAGCAAACAGGG
This 254-nucleotide ribosomal RNA is filed under the name uncultured bacterium. Its description in RNAcentral is "partial 16S ribosomal RNA". It matches the Rfam family "Bacterial small subunit ribosomal RNA", at positions 524 to 777 of the family's 1533-position model. The record is from RNAcentral.